RNAcentral lists this ribosomal RNA (1317 nucleotides) under Triticum aestivum (bread wheat). RNAcentral's name for it is "partial small subunit ribosomal RNA". Lineage: Eukaryota; Viridiplantae; Streptophyta; Magnoliopsida; Poales; Poaceae. The record is from RNAcentral.
AUGUAUGGUGAAGCUGGAAGUAUGCUCAAGUAUUUUAGAGAUAAAAAGAAUGAGAAUCCUGCAUUUGAAUAUGACAUGCAACUAGAUUGCGAUGAAAAUAUAGCAAAUAUCUUCUGGGCUGAUGCAAGGAUGAUAAUUGACUAUGCUCAUUUCGGUGAUGUUGUUACCUUCGAUACAACAUUUGGGACAAACAAAGAGUACAAACCCUUUGGUGUGUUUGUUGGCUUCAACCAUUUCAGAGAAAUGGUCAUUUUUGGUGCUGCACUAUUAUAUGAUGAGACAUUUGAAUCAUUCAAAUGGUUGUUCAACACGUUCCUAUCAGUGCAUAACAAAAAACAACCAAGGACAAUCUUUACUGAUCAAGAUGUAGCAACGGGUAAUGCAAUUCAGGCAGUAUUUACCGAAGCAUGGCAUGGGUUGUGCACUUUUCACAUAAUGCAAAAUGCCAUCCGGCACUUACCUCAUAAGAAAAAAGAUGAGGAUGGACCAAAUGUACUUGCUGAUUUCAGUGCUUGCAUGUACAAGUAUGAGGAAGAGGAAGCCUUUGAAGACGCUUUCAAUUCCAUAAGAAGCAAUGUGGAAAUACAAACUUGGGUUGUGCAAGGAAAAAGAGAUAAUGAGGUAAAUGAGGAAUAUGAGUCUAGGAAAAAAUUACCUAGAGUCAGAAUGAGGACUCCUAUGGUAAUACAAGCGAGCAAAGUUUACACACCAUGCAUAUUUGAAGAUUUUCAGAAUGAAUAUGAAAGAUCCAUCUCAGCAUACAUCAAGCCAUCGGUACAACACAAUGUUUAUACUGUUGCGAUUGCAAGUCUUGACCCAGAAUUUUCAUAUGAAGAAGAAUGCAAAGUUCUAGUAGACUAUGGAGAGCAAAAGGUUCUAUGCAAUUGUGGGCAAUUUGAAAGAGUUGGUAUAUUGUGUAGUCAUGCUUUGAAAGCCCUUGAUGUCAUGAAUAUUAAAUAUCUUCCAGGCCACUAUAUUUUGAAGCGAUGGACUCGAGAAGCACGAAGUGGAACUAUUCAAAACAGUCAUGGAAACAUUGUUUUGGAAGACCCUAGAUCGGAAGAUAGGCAACAGUUGAAGUUUUUCAUGCAUGAUUUCCAUGGCAUAGCUUCCCAAGCAGUUGCAUCAAAAGAGUGCAUCAAACUAGUAGAUGAUGCUUUGAGGAUUCUUAGGAAGCAAGUUGAAGAAAAAGCUCCUACUACUACAUGCACAACUGAAGAUAUAUCUAAAGAACCAGAGGAUUGUCUACAGGCCGCUUGCCUAAAGAAAAAAGAAAUUCCGAAGAAGAAUUCGAGACGAAAGAAAUCAUGGCUUGAC